Mustela lutreola (European mink) is the source of this 1623-nucleotide long non-coding RNA. RefSeq lists it as uncharacterized. The record is from RefSeq and is a predicted model, not a curated record. Lineage: Eukaryota; Metazoa; Chordata; Mammalia; Carnivora; Mustelidae. The transcript is spliced from 3 exons.
GGGAGCCGGGAGUUAACGGGUUGGCAAGCUGCCACAAACUACUUUAAUGGCGGCAAAGGUUUGGCUGGGGAAGCAGAGUCUCUAGGGCAGCAAGGACCUCAGCUGCUGGGGAAAGGCUGUCAGCUACUCAUGUUAUUUCAUUGCUUCUGUAACCUCCCUUCCUGCCACCAGCCUGGGCUGCACUGACUGGGGGAUGGCCCUCACCACAGCACCUAUUUCAGCAGCUUCAGCUGCUUCUGGUGACAAAAAUUUUGAGUGCAGCUCGGCCCUCAAAGGGUCUUUCCGAUGGCCGUUCCUGGCGAGACAUCCUCUUUGUAUAAAACCUGGGGCAUUCAGAAUCAGGACAAUGUUACACAGAAGAAAAGAAAGCCCAGCAAUUCCUGGAGGAAGACUAGGAAACAUGGCUUCUGUGAAAACAAAAGACACUAGAGAAUGUUCUUAGCCGUGUGCCAGAGAAUCUGACAUCUUCCACGUCAGCAUCAGAACUCCUGCCAUAUUUACAACAUGGACAACUUCCCAGAUCUUGAGAUUUCUUUUAAAAUUAUUGUACUGUAGUAAUACAGGAUGAGAAAAACUGGGAAAAUGCUGAUUUAAAAAGACCCCUCUCAUAGGAAACAAAAUCCAUUAAAGAAAUGUAAAGUCAUUUUAUUCAGGGGAAGGAUAAUAGGAGAAAUCACAAUGUCAAGAAGAAAUCCAUCUUCAUGGAGCAAGACAACACAUGUUAUUGCUGUGGGAUUAAAAAAAUUAAAAAGAAAAAAGUUACUCAGUUAGCAGAUUUAAGGUGUUAUUUCAAAUGCUUUCUGGAGUGAUGUUUUUAGAGCAAAGUAUGGGAAAUUUUAUCAAAUAACCUCUAGUAUUAACUGGGGAGGUUAGGUGUUAAUUGUCUGAAUCAACAUGAGGCUAGCAUAUUUUUAAGGAGGAGAAUGCAAGUAUUAGGUUAGCAUUAAAUGGAAAAUAAAUAGUAAAUAUACCGAGCUGAAAUUCUUUUGAUUUUCUUUAACACGCAGUAUUUCUGGCGUGUCUUGAACAACUGUAACUUUUCCUUUACUGUUUUUAAGGUCACACUGGUAUUGGAGCUAUGAAGAAAGAGUAAACAUCUUGUUAAGAUUUCAACAUUUUAAAAUAUAUUUUAAAUUGUCUCUAUUGUGUAAGGGAAGUUAAAAUCCAAAUCAAAACAAAACCCAAACUAUGCCAUAAUAAUCAUAGUCAGAGAGCUGAAGGGAAAUUCUUUAAUAAAAAUGUUGUAAAAUUAUUUUAAAAACCCUAAAAAUGGUAAAGUGUCAAGUUAGAUUUAAAAAAAAUGCAUCCCUGCCUGAAUUAAUUUUGAAAAAGACAGAUGUUGCCACUAAUAGAAGAUGGCGAUAGUUCACAUACAGUGACAAGAAGCCACUAACAAAGCAACAGUGGUAUAUUUCAUGCUGUGAUUUGGGGACUAUAAGGUGAUCUUGAAGAAAAAUGGAGCACAUGUUUCCUGGCCCACAGGUGGGAGUUGCAGAGGGCGGCCCUGCAGCCCCCUCUCGGAGGCAAGGCCCAUUGUCUAUGCCCAGAGGCAUCCACUGUGCCCCCCCAUCCCAGGUAUCAGUGGGCUGUGUCUUAGAGUCAAUAAAAACUUACAAGGCUGAA